Molecule: non-coding RNA, 107 nt
Organism: Ricinus communis (castor bean)
Lineage: Eukaryota; Viridiplantae; Streptophyta; Magnoliopsida; Malpighiales; Euphorbiaceae
Source: Rfam
AAACCAUGAUGUGAAAAGCUCCUCAACAAAUCCUUGAAACAUUUCCAAUAAUCAUUCAAAGUUUCAUUCUCCUACUGAAGAAGUCCUGAUAUAUCAUUCCUCAACUU